RNAcentral lists this ribosomal RNA (215 nucleotides) under Glomeromycotina sp. RNAcentral's name for it is "partial small subunit ribosomal RNA". The stretch from base 39 to 215 matches the Rfam family "Eukaryotic small subunit ribosomal RNA", at positions 686 to 864 of the family's 1831-position model. The record is from RNAcentral. Lineage: Eukaryota; Fungi; Glomeromycota.
GGUCAGUAGGUUGGUCGUGCCACCGGUACGUACUGGUCUCACUGAUUCCUCCUUCCUGAAGAACCGUAAUGCCAUUAAUUUGGUGUUGCGGGAAAACAGGACUGUUACUUUGAAAAAAUUAGAGUGUUUAAAGCAAGCUAACGCUUGAAUACAUUAGCAUGGAAUAAUGAAAUAGGACGAUCGAUCCUAUUUUGUUGGUUUCUAGGAUUGACGUA